CCAGACUCCUACGGGAGGCAGCAGUGAGGACUCUUUUUCAAUGGGCUGCCUCCUGAACCCGCCCUGCCGCGUGCCGUCCGACGGCUCUACUCGUUGUAAACUGCUUUUGUACCGGGGUCACAUGCCUUCCGAGUAGGGUUUUGCAAGUACGGUACGAAUAAGGAUCGGCUAACUCCGUGCCAGCAGCCGCGGUAAUACGGCGGAUCCGAGCGUUAUCCGGAUUCAUUGGGUUUAAAGGGUGCGUAGGUUGUUUUAUAAGUUAGCGGUGAAAUACCGAUGCUCAACAUCGGGGCUGCCGCUAAUACUGUAGGACUAGAGAUCGGAUGCAGCAGGCGGAAUGUGUAGUGUAGCGGUGAAAUGCAUAGAUAUUACACAGAACACCGAUUGCGAAGGCAGCUUGCUAGGCCGGAUCUGACACUGAUGCACGAAAGCGUGGGGAUCGACCAGGAUUAGAUACCCGCGUAGA
RNAcentral lists this ribosomal RNA (466 nucleotides) under uncultured bacterium. Its description in RNAcentral is "bacterial SSU rRNA". It matches the Rfam family "Bacterial small subunit ribosomal RNA", at positions 331 to 794 of the family's 1533-position model. The record is from RNAcentral.